AAAAUUUAGUAAUUAGUAAUGAAGUAGCAGGCAUAUUUGGAAAAUUAUGCCGAUAAGCAGGAUGGAAUUUGGGAAAAAAUGUUAUAAAUCGAGUGGCUCAUUUACGAUGUGCUCCAAACAUUUGGCGAACUUUUUUUCGCCUUUUCAACGUGCUAAGUAACAAGUUAAGAUGACUGCCAUCAUGGGCCGGUAAGAAACCGCAAGCAAAGGGCAGACAACCUUCCAGGAAGCUGCCUCCUGUCCCCGAGCCGAAGCUGCAGUUCAGCAAGAGCAGGUCAGCAAAUUGCUACCCUGAUCAAACGUAAACUAAAGCGCUCUGCUGUGAUUGCACUCCGUAAAUGUGAAAACUUGGUGCAUGCUGAGAAAUAUCAAACAAGAAAACUCCGUGAUGGACGCCGUGAGAUGGAGUAACGCUGUGUGGCAAAGAAAUGCGGCCAAUUCGACGGGCCUGAAAAAUCCAAAUUGGCUUUUGUGAUCCGCAUCCGCGGUAUCAACAAAGUUGCACAAAAAGUGCGUAGUUUUACAGUUCUGUCUUCGCCACAUUAAAACGAUGUGUUCAUCAAAUUGAGCAAGGCAACCAUUAAUAUGCUACGUAUGCCGAACCCCCUAUAUGGGGUUAUCCAAAUCUUAAAUCAGUUUGUGAAUUGAUGUACAAACGUGGAAUGGUCAAGCGUGUCCCAAUCUCUGCUUUGUGAUCGAACGCAAAUUUCGCGAAGCGCACGAAAUUCAAUGCGUUGAUUCACUUCACUUCAAGAAAGCCCCCAACUUCCUGUUGCUAUUCAAGCUCAACACAUCAACCCGAGGCUGGCGCAAGAAGGCUAAUCACUACGUUGAGGUUGGUGAUUUCGGUAGCCGUGAGGAUAAGAUCAACAAAUUGCUGCACAAGAUGGCUUAAAGAAAUUGUUGUUUUGUAUUUAAGUCGACAAUAUAAUUUGGCACAUCUUCAAAAGACGCCCACCAAAAAAAAAAAAAAAGAAAAUUAAAAAAUUCCUGAAGUUGCCUUUUCACGGGUCGAUUUCUGUCGACUGGAAAAUUUACUUAAGAUAUCGACUAGCCAAAACGCUUACAUUUUACGGUUGAAUUGCAAUUUACACGGGUAGAUUUUGGUUAAACGACAAAAAUCGACCGUGUAAAGGCAGCUUAAAUAACGUUCAAAUUAAUCACCACCUUUGAGAUGGAAAAUACCAAUAACCAUUUCAUAAUUUCGAAAAUUAUUCCAUUUAUAUUUGUUCUUGCAUUUUCCACACCACUUGUGAGGUAUGCUUUUACGCGCGUUACCGUUUUUUUUUAAUGUGCUCGGUUGCCCAGGAGGCCUAUUUUCACCUUUACAACUUAACUUAAACAGAAUUAAAACUAAAGCAUGCAAUAUAUAAAGAAAAUUAAAAGUUGUCUUACAUCUAGUAAACUUAAAAAAUUGCACAUUAAAUUCAUUUUUCAUUAUAAAAUAAAAUUAAAUAUCACAAUUCAGUUUACAAAAUGUGGUCUGUUUGCACCCACAGUAAGUUCCCAUGAAGCCUAGCCUAAAUUCAGAAUUGAAAAAAAAA
Molecule: long non-coding RNA, 1544 nt
Organism: Rhagoletis zephyria (snowberry fruit fly)
Lineage: Eukaryota; Metazoa; Arthropoda; Insecta; Diptera; Tephritidae
Source: RefSeq, a predicted model, not a curated record